CCGGCUCAUUCAUUGCAUUCUGUCAUGAAACCAUGUUGGUGGUGAUGAGAAUGUUUUGGGUCCCCAUACAUUGUGGAUUAAUCCAUUUGUGGAUUCAUGAGACUGCAGUUGUAGGAACUGACUUGAGAAGUGUGAACUGAGAAGGUCAGCUUAUGUGAGUGGUAGGAUACAGCAGAAUUGAUGGUAAUUGUUUCUGAAGAAGUGAUAAUGGAUAUCACAGCACCUGCCUCAUUACUCUCUCACUUUUGGAUCACUCCCUUUGGAGGAAGUCAGCUGCCAUCUCAUGAGCAAGCCUGUGGAGGAGCCCACCUAGCGAGGACCUAGAGCCUUGUGCCAUUGGAUGUGCAAGUAAACCUAGAAGCAGAGCCUCGAGCCCCAGCAAAAGAAGGAAGAAAGAAAGAAAGAAAAGGGAAGAGAAGAAAAGAGAAAAGAAAAGAAAACUGGACCAUGCUUCCUCACGGGAUGCAGAGUAAAAUUUAAUAAGGAACGGACCCGCUCCAGUAUACCUGACCAGCCAGAAGCUGGAAGCUCUCUGUGGGACAUGUGGCCUCCAUGUGAACUCAUGAUGGAUGGGCCCACCAGUCAAUUAUCCUUCCAUACUGGGAACUCUGGCCAUCACCGAGACUUUGCCAUAAUCCAGUUCUGUGAAGUAUUGAUAUCUUGCUAAGUGGACCUACUAAAUAAUGAAGAAAAAAUGAAGCCUAUAAAGAAUAUUGACUUUGUGACCAAUUCAAGACCUGUCACCACCAUCCAUUGAGUGUCGGUCCUUAACCUCUGUUUGCUUGAUUCCUCAUUUCUACAAGGGGGAAUAUAAAGUUGGUAAGAGAAUGGAGUGAGUUAGUAAUUGGAACAGUGCCCAAGACAUGAUAAGUGUUCAAUAAGUAUUACAUACUAUUACAUAAUAAAUAUUGCAAUUAAAGAUCAAUUUUACUAUCUUUAAAGUUUUCUGAUGGUAGCAGCUAAGAUGUAAGGGUUUAAUGUAGAUCCUUGCAGAUUUCUCUGACUGGGAUCCUGAUGUAUUUGUUUAUUCCUUAUAUUUUUCUUUUUAUAUUUAUUUUCUAUGUUUUAAAAUAAACAUUGUUUUAAAAAUUUGCCCCAACCCUUUUGUUUAAAGUUUUUUUUUUUAACCAGACGUUUCUUUAAGUAAAACAUGGCUAGCUAUAGAGAUAACAUCGAAAUAAAGAGAAAUAAUUUCAUAGAACAGUGGUUCUUAAGUCUUUUUGGGUUACUGAUCCCUUUGAGAAUUGGAUGAAUGCUCUCCCCUAAAAAAUGCACAUAUAAACACACACACACACAGACACACACACAAUUUUGAUUAUAAUUAGAGGGAGUUUGUGGAUCCCGAAAACCAACCAAUAAAUCCACCAGGCAGCCAUGAAAAUAAGCCUUGAAUUGACUGCAAAGUGUACAUUCUUCCUUUUUAAAAGAUUUUAUUUUUUUAAGUAGUUUCUACACCCAGCAAGGGGCUCGAACUCAUGACCUUGAGAUCAAGAGUCACCACUUCAUUGCCUGAACCAGCCAGGUGCACCUGCAAAGUCCACAUUCUUAUCAGCUUAAUUUUCUUCUUCAUUGUUUCAUAGGUCCAUUUAACAAGAUCUUCAAAACAUCCUGAAUCUUAAAUUAUUCAUAUCCUUCUAGUUUAAGCAAAAAGAAUUUCCUUUAGAGAAAUUUCAGUUCU
This is a long non-coding RNA of Lutra lutra (Eurasian river otter), 1678 nucleotides long. RefSeq lists it as uncharacterized. The transcript is spliced from 5 exons. NCBI's taxonomy places the organism in Eukaryota, Metazoa, Chordata, Mammalia, Carnivora, Mustelidae. The record is from RefSeq and is a predicted model, not a curated record.